RNAcentral lists this ribosomal RNA (492 nucleotides) under uncultured bacterium. RNAcentral describes it as "partial 16S ribosomal RNA". It matches the Rfam family "Bacterial small subunit ribosomal RNA", at positions 29 to 507 of the family's 1533-position model. The record is from RNAcentral.
AGUGAACGCUGGCGGUAGGCCUAACACAUGCAAGUCGAACGGCAGCACAGUAAGAGCUUGCUCUUACGGGUGGCGAGUGGCGGACGGGUGAGGAAUACAUCGGAAUCUACUUUUUCGUGGGGGAUAACGUAGGGAAACUUACGCUAAUACCGCAUACGACCUACGGGUGAAAGCAGGGGAUCUUCGGACCUUGCGCGAUUGAAUGAGCCGAUGUCGGAUUAGCUAGUUGGCGGGGUAAAGGCCCACCAAGGCGACGAUCCGUAGCUGGUCUGAGAGGAUGAUCAGCCGCACUGGAACUGAGACACGGUCCAGACUACUACGGGAGGCAGCAGUGGGGAAUAUUGGACAAUGGGCGCAAACCUGAUCCAGCCAUACCGCGUGUGUGAAGAAGGCCUUCGGGUUGUAAAGCCCUUUUGUUGGGAAAGAAAAGCAGCAGGUUAAUACCCCGCUGUUCUGACGGUACCCAAAGAAUAAGCACCGGCUAACUUCGUG